AAGCGCAAGAUUGAGUGCCUCGAUUCGAGUCACAAUGCGGCCCCCUACAUCAAGUGCGAGGGGGACCCGCCCGAACAUGCCAAGACCUGCACCAUGGAGGAGUGCCCCAAGUGGCAGCUCUCCCCUUGGUCCCCCUGUACUGCACCGUGCGGGAAUGGCACUCAGAAGCGGGUGGCACGCUGCAUGAAGCGCGGCCAGGAAGUGAGCCCCCUGAACUGCCACGGGAAGCGUCCCUCGCCUCAGGUCCGCACCUGCAACCUCCGCCCCUGCCACUACCGCUGGAAGAAGAAGCGAUGGACCCCCUGCAGUGCCACUUGUGGUGGAGGAUCCCAAACGCGCACUGUCGUGUGCGUAGACAGAAGCGAACGCCUGGCGCCCGAGCGCUUCUGCAACAGCCAACGUCGGCCCAAGGUCGUCCGACACUGCGCGGUACAUCCUUGUCCCUUCAUUUGGAAAACAUCCGACUGGUCCGAGUGCAGCCAGACGUGUGGGGAGGGCUUCCAGAAGCGUGCAGUGACCUGCCACAAGGUGAACCCCUACGGCUGGGCCGACCCUGUGCCCCUGGCGGACGCCGAGCGGCGGCAUGGGGACGCCUGGCCGCAUGAGCGGAGGGCCGCCCACUACUGCACGCCCCACGACAAGCCCGCCACCACCCGGCCCUGCAUGGUGGGACACUGCGGGGACGGGGUCUUCUGGCGCCCGGGACCCUGGACCCCAUGCUCGACGUCCUGCGGUCCGGGCAAGCAGAAGCGUCGGCUGCGCUGCCACGACAACAGGGGGAAGCGCGUCAACAACAGCCACUGCAGUGCCGCCCUCAAGCACAGGAUCAAGCGGAAACGGCGCUGCAUGCUCAGGCCAUGUUCUGCGGUGAGCUGUGAGGAGGUUCAGCGACGCGGCGGAGUCCACACGGACGGGGAACAGCAGCUGAACAUUCGCGGCCGCCAGGUGAAGGUGUACUGUGCCCGCAUGAACACCUCCUCCCCCAAGGAGUACAUCUCACUUGACAGUGGCGAGAGCAACAACUACUCCGAGGUGUACGGCAAGAGGCUUAUUCAGUCGGACGAGUGUCCGUAUGGAGGGGCACGUGUGGACAACUGCGAUUGUGUGGAUUACCCGGCUGCCCUCACCACUUUCUCCAAGGUUGCCUUCAACAUUACUUCCCUCGAAGUGAACAGGCACGACUUCACGUUCAGCCGCACCCAGAAGGGCCGUCCCACGGGGUUCGGGGAGUCGGGGGACUGUUACAGCCGGGCAAAGUGCCCCCAGGGCCGCUUUUCGCUCAACCUGGCCGGCACAGACUUCGUGGUGGCCGACGCCACCAAGUGGGUGACGCAGGGCCCACACGCCGUCAUCAAGCUGCGCCGACUUCAGGAGGGGCAGAUAAUCCAGGGCCAGUGUGGAGGCUACUGCGGCACAUGCUUCCCCGACCCCACGAGGGGUCUUUUGCUGGACGUCCGCCCACCUUGACUCAGGUGGGCACCUGCUGCCAUCUUGGUGCACCUCGCUGGAAGAUUUAGAUCUGUCACAUUUGCGCGUGGGCAAGCCAGCAGCAAGAAGUGGCGGUGAAACUGUCGACGUCCAACUCUGUGCAGUAUUUUCCGGCGCUUCCUCCGCGACGAACUGAACGAGGGGCGACCGGACCCUCCCCUCCCCCUGCCCGAUCACGCGACUCACCAGGUCUCGCCCGCGGCCGUCACGUGACCUCUUGUGGGAUACUGUCGCGCUUGCGCCGGCGACCAACGGACGUGCGACCAGCAUCAACACGUGUCUCAGUGUGUUUUUUUUUUUUUUUUUUCUUUUAAACCGAAGCGCCUUUGCCUUUUUUUUUUUCUUUACAAUUCACUUUACUACAGCGUUGUUAUUGAUGUGUUGUUGUUGUUAUAUCGUUAGCGGUGUUGCAACCUUUCAUUCGCCGAUCAUCGUCCGGAACCCGCGGACUCUGUCGCACACGGAAGAGGCACCAGGUUCCGACUUCUUUCGAGGUGCUCCGCACGUUGUCAAACCCUGCUAGCGGCCUGCAGCGUAGGCCCGUUCCAGGGGGCGCCCAAGUCGGUAGUGGUCAACACAGCCGACGGAACAUACAUCGUCGUUAUUUAUUGCUCGUCGGACGAGUGCCAACUCAGCCAAGACGAGCCACGGUGAGGUCGUGAGCAUUGUAUGCGUCGAACAGUGCACUUUUUUUUUAGUGUCCUUUCCACCUUUUGCACCGGAGGUGGCACUGCCAAGCCCCAAUCAUUUAGACUGUUUCCUCCUCACACCGCUUGUUGGGGCAGAGGUUGCCAAGGUCACAAUGGCGGACAUGGCCUAGCCGACCGCCGUAACAUAGCCCAAGGUUGCUUAGACGCAUUGCCCGGUGUCACGUUCACAGCGUUCCGCUCAGCUACCUCAGGCAGCUUCCGUCUAAACCAAACCCGCGCAGCUAGAAACAUCUUUUGACGUUUCUCAUUUACUCAAAAGGACGACUGCUUGCAACUGCGCGUCGAGAAUCUCAGUUCGCCCACGCCAAGCGCUUAACUCACCGUCCCACCUUUUUAACCGUUUGUCGUUCGCCCCCUUCCCCCGUUUCGGAGUAACACCGUCGUCGGCCGUGCGUUGGUUUGUGUUCUCACCAAAGUUUUAACGUCUCUCUCUUCUGUACAUAACCACGUGGUCCAAUCUCCCGGCGCCCCAUGUGCCGCGUCAUCACUCGCUGUGCCAAUUGUGUGUGGAAACAUGCGAGCCGUGCCUGCUGCGCCUUUACCGGAGCACCGCGGCGUCGUCAGUCUUCAAGAUUUGAUUGUCGGUGUUGCCCAGUGUUGUGCGACGUGUAGCGAGUGGUCACGCGAUUUGGAAGGAAGGCAUCGCGAGCGUGCGCCUCGCAAGCCUUCCCUACUGCCAUUUGUUUUUGGCUGCACUGCCUGUAAAUAAACAUUGAUGCGCAUCGGA
RNA transcript from Ixodes scapularis (black-legged tick), 2925 nucleotides. It is a transcript of the gene named A disintegrin and metalloproteinase with thrombospondin motifs 9-like, with no coding region annotated. The transcript has 11 exons. The record is from RefSeq and is a predicted model, not a curated record. NCBI's taxonomy places the organism in Eukaryota, Metazoa, Arthropoda, Arachnida, Ixodida, Ixodidae.